GUAUAACGGCGCCAGUCUGUACAUAUAGCAAAAGUGGAACGAUGUACAGAAGAUUAGCAUCUCCCCUGCGCAAGGAUGACACGCAAAAUCAGGAAACGUUCCCCAUUUUU
Molecule: small nuclear RNA, 110 nt
Filed under: Haemaphysalis longicornis (longhorned tick)
Lineage: Eukaryota; Metazoa; Arthropoda; Arachnida; Ixodida; Ixodidae
Source: RNAcentral